CCUGCCUUUAGAUGUGUUACAGAUGUGAAUGCUGUGUCACAUGUGUAUCACUAAUUGACAGAAGGAAAAAACCUCUCUAGUGUUUUGAAUUGUGAAUAAUGAGAUGAUUGACACC
This 115-nucleotide small nucleolar RNA is filed under the name Erinaceus europaeus (western European hedgehog). Its description in RNAcentral is "Small nucleolar RNA SNORA17". It matches the Rfam family "Small nucleolar RNA SNORA17". From Rfam's summary of the family: snoRNA ACA 17 belongs to the H/ACA family of snoRNAs and is predicted to guide pseudouridylation of the 28S rRNA at positions U4659 and U4598. It shares the same host gene together with ACA43. Lineage: Eukaryota; Metazoa; Chordata; Mammalia; Eulipotyphla; Erinaceidae. The record is from Rfam by way of RNAcentral.